UACGUAGGGUCCGAGCGUUGUCCGGAAUUAUUGGGCGUAAAGGGCUCGUAGGCGGUUCGUCACGUCGGGAGUGAAAACUCGGAGCUUAACUCCGAGCCUGCUUCCGAUACGGGCAGACUAGAGGUAGGCAGGGGAGAGCGGAACUCCUGGUGUAGCGGUGGAAUGCGCAGAUAUCAGGAAGAACACCGGUGGCGAAGGCGGCUCUCUGGGCAUGAUCUGACGCUGAGGAGCGAAAGUGUGGGGAGCGAACAGG
This 253-nucleotide ribosomal RNA is filed under the name uncultured bacterium. Its description in RNAcentral is "partial 16S ribosomal RNA". It matches the Rfam family "Bacterial small subunit ribosomal RNA", at positions 524 to 776 of the family's 1533-position model. The record is from RNAcentral.